This 410-nucleotide ribosomal RNA is filed under the name uncultured microorganism. RNAcentral's name for it is "bacterial SSU rRNA". It matches the Rfam family "Bacterial small subunit ribosomal RNA", at positions 509 to 917 of the family's 1533-position model. The record is from RNAcentral.
CAGCCGCCGCGGUAAUACGUAGGGUGCGAGCGUUAAUCGGAUUUACUGGGCGUAAAGCGUGCGCAGGCGGCCCGUUAAGACAGGUGUGAAAUCCCUGGGCUCAACCUAGGAAUUGCGCUUGUGACUGGCGGGCUCGAGUACGGUAGAAGGGGGUGGAAUUCCUGGUGUAGCAGUGAAAUGCGUAGAGAUCAGGAGGAACACCGAUGGCGAAGGCAGCCCCCUGGGCCUGUACUGACGCUCAUGCACGAAAGCGUGGGGAGCAAACAGGAUUAGAUACCCUGGUAGUCCACGCCCUAAACGAUGGGUACUAGCCGUUUGGUGCGCGAUAGCGCUGAGUGGCGAAGCUAACGCGUGAAGUACCCCGCCUGGGGAGUACGGCCGCAAGGCUGAAACUUAAAGGAAUUGGCGGG